Molecule: ribosomal RNA, 1372 nt
Filed under: uncultured bacterium
Lineage: Bacteria
Description: bacterial SSU rRNA
Rfam family: Bacterial small subunit ribosomal RNA
Source: RNAcentral
GGUGAACGCUGGCGGCGUGCCUAAUACAUGCAAGUCGAGCGAACGGACGAGAAGCUUGCUUCUCUGAUGUUAGCGGCGGACGGGUGAGUAACACGUGGAUAACCUACCUAUAAGACUGGGAUAACUUCGGGAAACCGGAGCUAAUACCGGAUAAUAUUUUGAACCGCAUGGUUCAAAAGUGAAAGACGGUCUUGCUGUCACUUAUAGAUGGAUCCGCGCUGCAUUAGCUAGUUGGUAAGGUAACGGCUUACCAAGGCAACGAUGCAUAGCCGACCUGAGAGGGUGAUCGGCCACACUGGAACUGAGACACGGUCCAGACUCCUACGGGAGGCAGCAGUAGGGAAUCUUCCGCAAUGGGCGAAAGCCUGACGGAGCAACGCCGCGUGAGUGAUGAAGGUCUUCGGAUCGUAAAACUCUGUUAUUAGGGAAGAACAUAUGUGUAAGUAACUGUGCACAUCUUGACGGUACCUAAUCAGAAAGCCACGACUAACUACGUGCCAGCAGCCGCGGUAAUACGUAGGUGGCAAGCGUUAUCCGGAAUUAUUGGGCGUAAAGCGCGCGUAGGCGGUUUUUUAAGUCUGAUGUGAAAGCCCACGGCUCAACCGUGGAGGGUCAUUGGAAACUGGAAAACUUGAGUGCAGAAGAGGAAAGUGGAAUUCCAUGUGUAGCGGUGAAAUGCGCAGAGAUAUGGAGGAACACCAGUGGCGAAGGCGACUUUCUGGUCUGUAACUGACGCUGAUGUGCGAAAGCGUGGGGAUCAAACAGGAUUAGAUACCCUGGUAGUCCACGCCGUAAACGAUGAGUGCUAAGUGUUAGGGGGUUUCCGCCCCUUAGUGCUGCAGCUAACGCAUUAAGCACUCCGCCUGGGGAGUACGACCGCAAGGUUGAAACUCAAAGGAAUUGACGGGGACCCGCACAAGCGGUGGAGCAUGUGGUUUAAUUCGAAGCAACGCGAAGAACCUUACCAAAUCUUGACAUCCUUUGACAACUCUAGAGAUAGAGCCUUCCCCUUCGGGGGACAAAGUGACAGGUGGUGCAUGGUUGUCGUCAGCUCGUGUCGUGAGAUGUUGGGUUAAGUCCCGCAACGAGCGCAACCCUUAAGCUUAGUUGCCAUCAUUAAGUUGGGCACUCUAAGUUGACUGCCGGUGACAAACCGGAGGAAGGUGGGGAUGACGUCAAAUCAUCAUGCCCCUUAUGAUUUGGGCUACACACGUGCUACAAUGGACAAUACAAAGGGCAGCGAAACCGCGAGGUCAAGCAAAUCCCAUAAAGUUGUUCUCAGUUCGGAUUGUAGUCUGCAACUCGACUACAUGAAGCUGGAAUCGCUAGUAAUCGUAGAUCAGCAUGCUACGGUGAAUACGUUCCCGGGUCU